Molecule: non-coding RNA, 26 nt
Filed under: Drosophila melanogaster (fruit fly)
Lineage: Eukaryota; Metazoa; Arthropoda; Insecta; Diptera; Drosophilidae
Also listed under: 10 other names
Source: RNAcentral
CCGGAUAGCUCAGUCGGUAGAGCAUC